RNAcentral lists this transfer RNA (104 nucleotides) under Cylindrobasidium torrendii FP15055 ss-10. It matches the Rfam family "tRNA". From Rfam's summary of the family: Transfer RNA (tRNA) molecules are approximately 80 nucleotides in length. Lineage: Eukaryota; Fungi; Basidiomycota; Agaricomycetes; Agaricales; Physalacriaceae. The record is from Rfam by way of RNAcentral.
GCCUCCUUGGCUCAGUUGGCUAGAGCGCAGGUCUCAUACAUUUGUGUGACCAAGCAGGUGCUUGGGUAAUCCUGAGGUCGCAAGUUCGAGCCUUGCAGGGGGCA